UCCCGCCCCAGAAAAAAAGGUUUUUAGCGCCAAAUCCGUUGAAUACCCUUUCAGCUUCCCUCUCUCUCACACGAGUCCCACCCCACCCUUAUCAAUCCAGUCUCUCCCCUCCUACAUUUCCUCUCCCGUUAAAACAAAGACCCAAACAACACUCUCUCUGUCAACGUCACCGGCGAAAUUCGAGUUCUUGAAUAGUAGCCGUUCGACUUCAUGAAGGGGGAUUCAAGGACGAUUUUGGGAUUGUUUUUGCCGCAAUUUGAAGAACAAUCAACUUCCAUCAAGCUAUUUGAAUCUUCAUCACAAGAUACUGUUCACAAAUAUGGUACUAUUCACCGAGAAAUUUUUUGGGGAGUUUUUUGAGAUGUUGACCAAAUACGAGAUUGAGAAAUUUGAUUGCAAGAUUAGUUUCAGUCUUUAGCGCAUUAAGAUGCAGACUCUACUGACUCAACAAGGUCUAAAGAAAGUGUUGUUUGGGAAAGACAAGUUGCCAACAACUAUGUUCAAUGAAGACAAGGAUGAGGUCGAUGAAAAGGCGCACAGUGCGAUUCUCCUGAAUCUAGCUGAUGAGGUGCUGCGUGAAGUUAUUGAUGAAAACAUGGCAGCAAAGUUGUGGCUGAAAUUGGAAAGUGACGAAGUCUCUCACCAACAGACUUUAUCUAAAACAGAGAUUUUACGCCCUUCAUAUGAAGGAAGAUAUGCCUCUUAAGGAACGUGUUGUUAAUUUCAAUUCUAUUAUUAUGGAUUUAAAAAAUACUAAUAUUAAAAUUGAUGAUGAAGAUCAAGCUCUUAUUUGUUGUGUUCUUUGCCUCCUUCUUAUGAGCAUUUUGUUACCACAUUACUUUAUGGAAAAGACACCAUUAGUAUAGAGGAUGUUAAAUCCUCACUGAACUUUCAAGAGUUAAGAAAAAAGGUGUCUAGGUUAUAACGGAGAUGAACAGGCCGAGGAUCUGGUUGUGAGGGGAAGAAGUGAGAAAAAUGGUUCUGGUAGUAGGGGCAAAUCGAGAUCUAAAUCUAGGUUUUAUAAAGAUACUGAAUGUUAUUUUUGUCACAAAAAAGGACACAUUAAGUGGAAUUGUCCAAAAUUGAAAAAUAAAAAGAAA
This is a long non-coding RNA of Cornus florida, 1100 nucleotides long. RefSeq lists it as uncharacterized. The record is from RefSeq and is a predicted model, not a curated record. Lineage: Eukaryota; Viridiplantae; Streptophyta; Magnoliopsida; Cornales; Cornaceae. The transcript has 2 exons.